RNAcentral lists this long non-coding RNA (828 nucleotides) under Delphinapterus leucas (beluga whale). Its description in RNAcentral is "lncRNA (ENSDLEG00000008368.1)". Lineage: Eukaryota; Metazoa; Chordata; Mammalia; Artiodactyla; Monodontidae. The record is from RNAcentral.
AUGCCUGUUUGGAGCUCCGCUCUUGCCCUUCCAGCCUCUGUACAAACUUUUCUCCUGCUUCAAGUUUCCCUGGCGGAGGCGGGGCCACACUGUGCGCGGCCCGGGCGCCCAUUGGCCAGACCGGGAGGGGGCGGGGCGCGUGCUAGCUCCUCUGCGCGGCGAGGAAGCUCCGCGGGCAGGAGGGAGGGGCUCCGGGCUGCGCGGAUCCCACCGCGCCUCGGCGGGCGGCUCCCUGCAGCUUUCCCGCCCUCCAACGAGGUAGGGGAGGGGGUGUUGGAGACUUGGUCCUCUCGCCUCAGGCAGGUGGUGCGGAGAAGCAGUGGUCCGCGGGAACCCUGGGGAAGCCCCAGUGCUCUUCUGUGCACCCUCUUAGGUACUCUGAAGUCGGCAUCCAGCGGGGCCAGCUCUGAAACCGGCAUCUCUUCUUCCUCACUGCCUCCCGCUCCAAGUGGGCUGUUUCUCGCACCUACUUCACGCGGGUCGCAACAUCUGGGUGCUGGGAAGGGAGGUCAGCGGCUUAGGACUCUACUUUGGAACGCCCGAGCAGACACUAGAAGAAGCCAGUGGAGGAAGGUCACAAGAGAACCAGGCAGUGCGGCUGCUUUCCCAGUAACUCAAAGGCAUCAGGUGGAGGCAAAAGAGGCAGAAACAAAAAAAACAAAGGUAACUUUUAAGCUUCUGAGAACUGGAAGGUGACAUCUGAGAAUGGCAUGGAAAAAGACAAAGGGGAAGAGCAUGGGGAGUGAGAGAGAGCCCGGGUCUAUGAAUAAACUCAGUGGUCCGCAUGGGUUUCAGUCUAGCCUGUCUUCCCUGUUUCCCAUCCAGAUA